GACGAACGCUGGCGGCGUGCCUAAUACAUGCAAGUAGAACGCUUAAGAGAGGAGCUUGCUCUUCUUGGCUUAGUUGCGAACGGGUGAGUAACGCGUAGGUAACCUGUCUUGUAGCGGGGGAUAACUAUUGGAAACGAUAGCUAAUACCGCAUAACAAUGGAUGACACAUUUCAUUUAUUUGAAAGGGGCAAUUGCUCCACUACAAUAUGGACCUGCGUUGUAUUAGCUAGUAGGUGAGGUAAUGGCUCACCUAGUCGACGAUACAUAGCCGACCUGAGAGGGUGAUCGGCCAAACUGGGACUGCGACACGGCCAAGAAUCCUACGGGAGGCAGCAGUAGGGAAGCUUCGGAAAUGGGGGCAAUCCUGACCGAGCAACGCCGCGCGAGUGACGGAGGUUGUCGGAUCGUAAAGCUCGGUUGUAAGUCAAGAACGGGUGUGAGAGUGGAAAGUUCACACUGUGACGGUAGCUUAAAAGAAAGGGACGGCUAACUACGUG
Molecule: ribosomal RNA, 497 nt
Filed under: uncultured bacterium
Lineage: Bacteria
Description: partial 16S ribosomal RNA
Rfam family: Bacterial small subunit ribosomal RNA
Source: RNAcentral